RNAcentral lists this transfer RNA (73 nucleotides) under Vicugna pacos (alpaca). RNAcentral's name for it is "tRNA-Ala (AGC) (tRNA-Ala-AGC-174-1)". It matches the Rfam family "tRNA". Rfam says of the family: Transfer RNA (tRNA) molecules are approximately 80 nucleotides in length. Their secondary structure includes four short double-helical elements and three loops (D, anti-codon, and T loops). Further hydrogen bonds mediate the characteristic L-shaped molecular structure. tRNAs have two regions of fundamental functional importance: the anti-codon, which is responsible for specific mRNA codon recognition, and the 3' end, to which the tRNAs corresponding amino acid is attached (by aminoacyl-tRNA synthetases). tRNAs cope with the degeneracy of the genetic code in two manners: having more than one tRNA (with a specific anti-codon) for a particular amino acid; and 'wobble' base-pairing, i.e. permitting non-standard base-pairing at the 3rd anti-codon position. The record is from RNAcentral. Lineage: Eukaryota; Metazoa; Chordata; Mammalia; Artiodactyla; Camelidae.
GGAGGGUAUAGCUCAGUGGUAGAGUGUGUGCUUAGCAUGCAUAAGGCCCUGGGUUCAAUCCCCAGUACCUCCA